CGCGAUACAGGGUGACAGCCCCGUACACAAAAAUGCACAUGCUGUGAGCUCGAUGAGUAGGGCGGGACACGUGGUAUCCUGUCUGAAUAUGGGGGGACCAUCCUCCAAGGCUAAAUACUCCUGACUGACCGAUAGUGAACCAGUACCGUGAGGGAAAGGCGAAAAGAACCCCGGCGAGGGGAGUGAAAAAGAACCUGAAACCGUGUACGUACAAGCAGUGGGAGCACGCUUAGGCGUGUGACUGCGUACCUUUUGUAUAAUGGGUCAGCGACUUAUAUUCUGUAGCAAGGUUAACCGAAUAGGGGAGCCGAAGGGAAACCGAGUCUUAACUGGGCGUUAAGUUGCAGGGUAUAGACCCGAAACCCGGUGAUCUAGCCAUGGGCAGGUUGAAGGUUGGGUAACACUAACUGGAGGACCGAACCGACUAAUGUUGAAAAAUUAGCGGAUGACUUGUGGCUGGGGGUGAAAGGCCAAUCAAACCGGGAGAUAGCUGGUUCUCCCCGAAAGCUAUUUAGGUAGCGCCUCGUGAAUUCAUCUCCGGGGGUAGAGCACUGUUUCGGCAAGGGGGUCAUCCCGACUUACCAACCCGAUGCAAACUGCGAAUACCGGAGAAUGUUAUCACGGGAGACACACGGCGGGUGCUAACGUCCGUCGUGAAGAGGGAAACAACCCAGACCGCCAGCUAAGGUCCCAAAGUCAUGGUUAAGUGGGAAACGAUGUGGGAAGGCCCAGACAGCCAGGAUGUUGGCUUAGAAGCAGCCAUCAUUUAAAGAAAGCGUAAUAGCUCACUGGUCGAGUCGGCCUGCGCGGAAGAUGUAACGGGGCUAAACCAUGCAC
This 837-nucleotide ribosomal RNA is filed under the name Escherichia coli. Its description in RNAcentral is "partial 23S ribosomal RNA". It matches the Rfam family "Bacterial large subunit ribosomal RNA", at positions 353 to 1194 of the family's 2925-position model. The record is from RNAcentral. Lineage: Bacteria; Pseudomonadati; Pseudomonadota; Gammaproteobacteria; Enterobacterales; Enterobacteriaceae.